CGGCCGCUGGGUGCAGCCGAGCGGUGUGGAGCGGAGAGAAUACUCGAAGGGCUCUCCUGAUACUAACAGUUUUACGAUUUAAAACUUCGCCAGAAUUUGUAUGUGACGCAUUCCCAGACUCUUCAGCCAACUGAGCAUCAGCUUCUUCACAGCAAUUGGGUCCUGAUUAAUGUCCUCCCAAGACAGACUUCAUUGGAUCCACGAUCAAGAGGACUCUGCCAGGUUUUUCUGACCCCUCUACAUUGCUAUAAAGUGCCAAGGCCUUAAGACUUGGGUACGUGUGUUACAACGGCAAGAGUGCCAGCGCCAACAAAAGACCCAUUGGACCUGUCAGCUCCUCUGUUUCACCAAGCAGACACAAUAACCUUACCAACAAAGCAGAGUAAGCCAAGUGCCUCUGUGUGACACCACCAGCAGCUGAUGACGCAUAAGAAAAAUAUAACUAAUUUAGACUAGAGCCCUAUCUCUUCUUGAGAAGCUGGGAUUUGAAGGAGCUAUCCUGAGAUCUGUACUGCUAGUAAGUGACUGAUAACAUUAUAAACUGGAUCGGUCCCUGAGUUCAGAGACUGAGUUGCAAUUGAGUGAAAAAUAGACAACGAAAUCUUGAAGAAUUGCACGGAGGUGCAAGCCAAGUUUAUUUGGCUCUCCAAAUAAUAUUGGUUGAACUAAGAAAUUGGUAAACGAAACCUGUAAUAGGACUGGUGUUUGGGCGUCUCUCUCUGUCACUGUUGUCUCUUGCUGUCACAUUGCUGUCUGUGUUGUCUUUCUAGGUCCAGAUGUUUUCAGAUAAUUCACAUUGCCCUGAUUGUGGACAACAGUGGUUCCCUAGUUUAGAACUAGGCCACUGGUUGUACCAAACUGAACUUGUUGAAAAUGAAUGUUACCAGG
This 888-nucleotide long non-coding RNA is filed under the name Homo sapiens (human). RNAcentral's name for it is "non-protein coding lnc-NPHS2-7:1". The record is from RNAcentral. Lineage: Eukaryota; Metazoa; Chordata; Mammalia; Primates; Hominidae.